GACAUUGGCACAUACACCAAGUUUGAGAGCAUCACGUGGGCAUGUGCCACUUGAAGGGGUUGGGUUAGGGUUAGGGUUUGGGUUUGGCCUUGGCUUUGGUUUUGGGGUUGGGUUUGGAGUAGGGUUGCAUGAAUAGGAACCACAAGCUGAAACAAGUGAAAAAAAGAGGAGGUUGAUUGUGAGGAAAAUAGCAAGGGAGGAACAAGUUUUGGAAGCCAUCUUAAUUAAAUUAUUCUUGUACUAGCUAAGUUGCUAUUAGAGCUUAAUUAAGAGAAGAAGAGUGGUU
This 286-nucleotide long non-coding RNA is filed under the name Medicago truncatula (barrel medic). Its description in RNAcentral is "long non-coding RNA (MTRU_LNC002325)". Lineage: Eukaryota; Viridiplantae; Streptophyta; Magnoliopsida; Fabales; Fabaceae. The record is from RNAcentral.